This 63-nucleotide transfer RNA is filed under the name Longitarsus membranaceus. Its description in RNAcentral is "tRNA-Pro". The record is from RNAcentral. Lineage: Eukaryota; Metazoa; Arthropoda; Insecta; Coleoptera; Chrysomelidae.
CAGAUAUUAGUUUAUAAAAAUUUUAAUUUUGGAGAUUAAAGAUAGGAAAUUUCUUAUAUCUGA